GCCACUUCACAAAAAUCAGGAUUCACCAUUUAUAUGUCAAAUAGCCUUAUGAGCCAAAUAUGUACUCCAUGUUAGCUUCCUGAAAAUAAUCUCCGGUUCCAUAUUCUUUGAGAAGACGAUCAAAGAUGUUGGAAUUAGCAAAAACGGUGGCUGGUACUUGGAACCUACUACAGCUUCAGGACAAGGCCAAUGGGACUGUGAUCACUGCCAUCUACAUCUGGCAGAAUGUACGAGUCAUGCACCUUCUCAGAAAUGCAUUCCGAGACAAGGAAGUAGUCAAGCCGCCAUCCUUUAUUAGUUUUACGUCCACCAUGGCGGUAACCCCAAUAAGUAUAACCAACGACACCAGGAUGCUGCUUCCUGAAUGUAUCUACAAACCCCUUGUUUAGAAAGUUCGUUUCGAAAGACUGUCUUUCUUCUUCAGUAAAGCCUGCACUUCUUUUAUUUCCAGUAGGAUUAUAAAUAUCUAUCUCCUCGUGGGCACAAUUUAGAUCACCGGUCAAAACAACAGGUUUCGACUCCUCUAGCUCUUUCAUGUAACUGCCAAGAGAAGGAUCCCACUCUGUAAUUCUGUAUGUCAAUCGGCG
RNAcentral lists this unclassified non-coding RNA (587 nucleotides) under Hevea brasiliensis (rubber tree). The record is from RNAcentral. Lineage: Eukaryota; Viridiplantae; Streptophyta; Magnoliopsida; Malpighiales; Euphorbiaceae.